AAAUAAAAUAUCGUUACAUCUUUUGGUGUUGCGGAUCUGGGUUUUCCGGUUUUAAGUCGGUUACCUAAAAUUAAGGAUUAUAUAAUGUGAUACGUACUAAAAUAAAAGUCGUUAAUCAUUAAUCUUUAUUACAUUACCAACUAUUAUGUUUUUAGUAGGAGGAGUGUAUAAUUUUUUGA
RNAcentral lists this unclassified non-coding RNA (179 nucleotides) under uncultured Scutellospora. Its description in RNAcentral is "partial internal transcribed spacer 2". Lineage: Eukaryota; Fungi; Glomeromycota; Glomeromycetes; Diversisporales; Gigasporaceae. The record is from RNAcentral.